Molecule: RNA transcript, 1138 nt
Organism: Piliocolobus tephrosceles (Ugandan red Colobus)
Lineage: Eukaryota; Metazoa; Chordata; Mammalia; Primates; Cercopithecidae
Gene name: putative TP73 antisense gene protein 1
Exons: 3
Source: RefSeq, a predicted model, not a curated record
GGAGCACCGAGGGAGCACCUGUCCUCGGGCAGGCACUACAGGAACCGCAGACUCAUCGGCAGCACGGCCUGCGGACGCCCAUUCUCAUGUAAGUGUCAGUGCCAACGCUGGUAUUUCAGGAGACAUCCCAACGGGCUGCCGGCUAUAUUAGGAUUCUCUGCCCUGCAAAAGUUUCCAAAAUAUGUGGACAGGCCGCCUGAUGACACUAUGUUUACGGAUCUGCUAGUGGCUUGCCCACUUGGGGAGUAACCCUGGGAAGUCUUGCAGUUUUGUUAAAGUGUGCGUGGCCACCUGAAUGCUGCCUUAUCACAAGCCAGAUACAUACUGGUCUGCAGGGUGACUCCCCACUCUUGAUCCUCUGAGAUGAUUGUGAACUGGGUGCUGUAAGUCCUACCACUUUGCUUAAAUGAAUGUGUCUUUUGUCCAGCUCAGCCGCCUCGGAUCUCACUGCCACCGGCCUUCCCGCACACCCUUGCCACCUGCCUUUGCCCCAUCAGCCUCAGCCUCAGCUCAUUCUCUCAGGCAGUCCCAGCAUUGGCACGGUACCUCCUCCCGCCGUGGGCCGCACGUCUCUGCUCCCUGUCAACCCUACUGCCAUCAGCAUCACCACAAGUGACUUGUCUGCCCAGGAGGAUGCAACACCAUCUACCUCCACCGGCCACCUUUCGGUGUUUUCUGCUUUCCAAGUGAAGACACCAGCAGUGCCCCCAGAGCAGACCAGCCAGAGAUUUUCCGAAGCCUCCCUCCCAUAGGGUGCUCCGUGGAGGAGGCCUGAGAUGCUCUCAUGACUUUGGAGCCAGGGUGGCCGGCCACCUUGGCCUGGCCGUCUUUGGGGUGGGCUUUGGGAGCCCAGCACUGCUGCAGAGUGUGGUGGGUGAGAACGGCUGCUGCUUGCUGUACGUGGUGGAGGACCAGCUGUGUGGUGUGGAGUAAGCCUUCAGAGCUGAGCAUUUGGCCAACACCAGAGUGGUUCGGGAACAGGAUGCGGACAUUUUCCUCAACGACCAGCGCGUCUCUGGAGUAGUUGUGUGCUCCCCGCCGGUGGCAGCUUCUGAAAUCGUGAUGCAUGCUCUCCAAGCAGAACAUACAUGUUUGGACGAACGGAGGCAAGAUGGUGCACUUCCGGGUUCUUCUUCAC